This 371-nucleotide ribosomal RNA is filed under the name uncultured Thermotogales bacterium. RNAcentral describes it as "bacterial SSU rRNA". It matches the Rfam family "Bacterial small subunit ribosomal RNA", at positions 1076 to 1429 of the family's 1533-position model. Lineage: Bacteria; Thermotogati; Thermotogota; Thermotogae; Thermotogales. The record is from RNAcentral.
UGGGUUAAGUCCCGCAACGAGCGCAACCCCUGCCCAUAGUUGCCAGCGGGUCGCCCACGUAGGUGGGCGAUGCUGGGGACUCUAUGGGGACUGCCGGCGAGGARCCGGAGGAAGRAGGGGACGACGUCAAGUCCGUGUGGCCCUUAUGUCCGGGGCUACACACGCGCUACAAUGGGCGGUACAGAGGGAAGCGACCCCGCGAGGGGGAGCAAAUCCCUAAAACCGCCCCCAGUUCGGAUUGCAGGCUGAAACCCGCCUGCAUGAAGGAGGAGUCGCUAGUAAUCACCUAUCAGCUAUGGGGUGGUGAAUACGUUCCCGGGCUCUGUACUCACCGCCCGUCACGCCAUGGGAGCCGGGGGUGCCUGAAGCCC